RNAcentral lists this transfer RNA (76 nucleotides) under Candidatus Doudnabacteria bacterium CG10_big_fil_rev_8_21_14_0_10_42_18. RNAcentral describes it as "tRNA-Val". It matches the Rfam family "tRNA". Rfam says of the family: Transfer RNA (tRNA) molecules are approximately 80 nucleotides in length. The record is from RNAcentral. Lineage: Bacteria; Candidatus Doudnaibacteriota.
GGGUCCGUAGCUCAAAUGGUAGAGCAUUCGUGUUACAAGCGAAAGGUUGAAGGUUCAAAUCCUUCCGGACUCACCA